GCCUUUCGAAAGAAAGAUUAAUACCCGAUGGUAUAAUCAGACCGCAUGGUCUUGUUAUUAAAGAAUUUCGGUUAUCGAUGGGGAUGCGUUCCAUUAGGCAGUUGGUGAGGUAACGGCUCACCAAACCUUCGAUGGAUAGGGGUUCUGAGAGGAAGGUCCCCCACAUUGGAACUGAGACACGGUCCAAACUCCUACGGGAGGCAGCAGUGAGGAAUAUUGGUCAAUGGGCGCAGGCCUGAACCAGCCAAGUAGCGUGAAGGAUGACUGCCCUAUGGGUUGUAAACUUCUUUUAUAUGGGAAUAAAGUUUUCCACGUGUGGAAUUUUGUAUGUACCAUAUGAAUAAGGAUCGGCUAACUCCGUGCCAGCAGCCGCGGUAAUACGGAGGAUCCGAGCGUUAUCCGGAUUUAUUGGGUUUAAAGGGAGCGUAGGUGGACAGUUAAGUCAGUUGUGAAAGUUUGCGGCUCAACCGUAAAAUUGCAGUUGAUACUGGCUGUCUUGAGUACAGUAGAGGUGGGCGGAAUUCGUGGUGUAGCGGUGAAAUGCUUAGAUAUCACGAAGAACUCCGAUUGCGA
RNAcentral lists this ribosomal RNA (573 nucleotides) under uncultured bacterium. RNAcentral's name for it is "bacterial SSU rRNA". It matches the Rfam family "Bacterial small subunit ribosomal RNA", at positions 146 to 718 of the family's 1533-position model. The record is from RNAcentral.